GUAGCUGGUUUGGGUCAACAAGAAGAUCAAUCUUGCUCCAGUAUACAGCAGGCAUCAUGUAGCUUCACCCCAGAAGUUUCACCAUUCUCUUGCUCAGGACUGAACCAAAGUAAGCAACAGAGGGAUCAGGUUCAUUCUGAUGACUCCAGGAUUAAACCUAUCAUGACUAAUUUGAAGC
Molecule: long non-coding RNA, 178 nt
Organism: Pistacia vera
Lineage: Eukaryota; Viridiplantae; Streptophyta; Magnoliopsida; Sapindales; Anacardiaceae
Exons: 3
Source: RefSeq, a predicted model, not a curated record